Long non-coding RNA from Saccostrea echinata, 2057 nucleotides. RefSeq lists it as uncharacterized. The transcript is spliced from 3 exons. Lineage: Eukaryota; Metazoa; Mollusca; Bivalvia; Ostreida; Ostreidae. The record is from RefSeq and is a predicted model, not a curated record.
CUUUUUUUUAGCUGAAGAGUUUUCACGGUUGAAGAGUUUUUUUCCCCCUUUGAUUCCUAUAUGGAGAAUGUUGCUUCAAGCCUGUCGUCCAGUCACACUAUCUUUACCGUUUACGGCUUUGCUGACGACAGGCUUACGAAGACCUUAUCUACCUUCAAAAAGGAAGAGCCACUAUCGAAAACGAAAGUUGAAUCUGUAGAUUAGAUUUUUGUCAACGUUGGGUUUGCAUGUCUUUACAGGAAGAAUUUUUACUCUAAGCAAGAAAAAAGGUAUUGAGGACCAUUCUUCAUCAGUCCAUUAUUUUACCAGAUUCCAGAUGAUGAAGAACUUAUAAGGCAAAACUGAUGGCAGGUGCUAAUAUUCAAGACAGGCCUCCAACAGAGAGAGAACUUGUGGAAGUCAGCAAACAUAUUGGGGCUGGUUUCGAGCUAGUGGGAGCAUACCUAGGCAUCGACAGCAUAAAGAUGCAACAUAUCAUUAUGAACAAUGGCUUCAGUGCAGAGACGCAAAUUUUUAAAAUGCUUGUCACUUGGAAACAGAAGGAGGGACGUCAAGCAACAGUGAAAAAACUCCUGGAGGCCGUAAAAAACAGCCCAGGGAACAUUAACGUGGAGGAGAUAGAGAGGAUUUUCAACUUGUGAUUUUUCAUUGUAUGAUUUAGUGAAAAAGAAGCAAUCUGAUUAAAAUCAGAUCCUUUGAUCCGUUAUGGGAGUGGAUCGAGGGAUCCGAUUUUAAUCAGACUGAAAAAGAAUGGAUCUGAGAUAACAGAAACAGUGUGUAGACAAAAAACAAACAAAUUUUUAGUUGAAUUAAGGACCAUAACUGUGGAAAAUUGAAGUGGUCAGUGUUUCUGUAAUACCUUGAAUACUCCUUCUCAAUUUGAUUGAUUUAUCAUGAUUAGGCCUAGAUAAAUAAAUAGUUUGUUUCCGGUUCCCCGACUGACCCUAAAAUAUAUGAGCCGACCCUAAAAAAUUAUCCGCAGAUAUCUUUCCAGGAGUAAACUAUUCCAGUUUUCACUAUUAGAAAUCCUAAUCUCGAUCACUUCUAUGUUUCAGAAAAUGCAUAUUCUAUCAGGGAUCUAUAUACUAACGGGAUAGGCAACUCCUUCAGCGCCAUGUUUAUUUACCCAAAACGGCACACACAACACUGCAAGUUUUUCAAAAUACGUUUUUUCCAGUAAAAAGCUUGUUUUCUGAUUAAUGUAAUUUAUUCUUUUUGUGUAUUGGAAUGGAUAUUUAAUGAAUUUUAAAGCACAUAUUUUAAAACAAUUUAGAUAUUAAGUAAACAACCACCAAAAUUGGCGUUUUCUCGGAAAUACGGCCGAUCAGGGGCCCACACUGAUUUUUAAAUAAACGUACAAUGUAAUUACUUCUAAGGUAAGGAGUGAAAACAGUGCUAAUAACAAAUCUUGAAUAAUUUUUUGAUAGAUAAAUUAAGAUUUUAUUCUGAAAUACUUGAUAGCAAAAGAGAUAUAUUUUAUUAAAAUUGACUUACGAAAUCCCGCAACUUACGAGAUAUCGGGAGACUUGCGAGAGUUGCCUAUCCCGUUAGUAUAUAGGUCCCUGAUUCUAUACACAUUUAUCAGAAAUGUUUUGACAGCGAUUUCCCAUGGGAGAAAUGGUAGCAUGCUUGCCAAUAAAAUAUUAAAAUAAAAUAAAAUGUUUUCCCUACCUACCUACCCUAUUUUUUCUCAGGUUGGAAUAGGAAACUCACUAUUUACUUAUCUUGGCCUUAUAUACGCUCUACUCCAAGGCUGUAGAAUCAAACUGUGUUGACAGAAUGUGUUCUUUAUAAAUAAUCAUUAUUUCCCAUCUAUACUAUCAUUUCUCCAUUUAACACUUUGAUCUCUGGCAUAUACAUGUAAAUAUGUCACAGAAAUCUAAUAUUCUACAGUAAUUACUGUGCUGUAUAAAUACAAUUGAGUGUUGAUGACUGACUGUACACUUGCUGGUGUGUAAUAUCUACAUUUAAUAUCAAGUGCUUCAUGUUCAUCACAUUGUAAGUGCUUCCACUUUCAUUUUCAAUAUUUUAUUUUAGAAUAAAUAAUGAAACAAGUA